AGCGUUGUUCGGAAUUACUGGGCGGAAAGCGCGCGUAGGCGGACCUGCAAGUCGGGGGUGAAAGCCCGAGGCUCAACCUCGGAACUGCCUUCGAUACUGCGGGUCUCGAGUCCGGGAGAGGUGAGUGGAAUUCCUAGUGUAGAGGUGAAAUUCGUAGAUAUUAGGAAGAACACCAGUGGCGAAGGCGGCUCACUGGCUCGGUACUGACGCUGAGGCGCGAAAGCUAGGGGAGCAAACGGG
This 240-nucleotide ribosomal RNA is filed under the name uncultured bacterium. RNAcentral describes it as "partial 16S ribosomal RNA". It matches the Rfam family "Bacterial small subunit ribosomal RNA", at positions 537 to 776 of the family's 1533-position model. The record is from RNAcentral.